GAUGAACGCUGGCGGCGUGCCUAACACAUGCAAGUCGAGCGAAAAGAUGAGGAGCUUGCUCGUAUGACGUUAGAGGCGGACGGGAGAGUCACUCGUGGACAAACUAACUAUCAGAAUGGGAUAAUAAUGGGAAAUAGGAGCUACUAACGGAUAAUAUAUUGCACCGCAUGGUUCAAUAGUGAAAGACGGUUUUGCUGUCACUAAUAGCUGGAUCCGCGCCGCAUUCGCUAGUUGGUAAGGAAACGGCUUACCAAGGCUACGAUGCUUAGCCGACCUGAGAGGGUCGUCGGACACACUGUAACAGAGACACGUUCCCGACUCCGGCGGUAAGCAACAGUAGAGAAUCCUCCGCGAUGGGCGAGAGCCUGACAGUGCAACACCGCGUAAGGGAUGAAGGUCUUCGGAUCGUAAAGCUCUGUUAUUAGUGGAGAACAAAUGUUUAAGUAACUGUGCACGUCUUGACGGUACCGGGUCAAAAAGCCACGGCUAACUACGUG
This 497-nucleotide ribosomal RNA is filed under the name uncultured bacterium. RNAcentral describes it as "partial 16S ribosomal RNA". It matches the Rfam family "Bacterial small subunit ribosomal RNA", at positions 28 to 507 of the family's 1533-position model. The record is from RNAcentral.